AUGUUGUAUAAAAGGGGGAAAGGUGAGCACUCCCCUUGAUAAGGAUGGAAGAGGUCCUAGUGGCCUUUACAACACGCAUAUGGUGGAGGAGUUCCUCCCUGCCGCCCCUGCCCCCGUCGUUGU
Hemicordylus capensis (graceful crag lizard) is the source of this 123-nucleotide small nuclear RNA. NCBI's taxonomy places the organism in Eukaryota, Metazoa, Chordata, Lepidosauria, Squamata, Cordylidae. The record is from RefSeq and is a predicted model, not a curated record.